Non-coding RNA from Russula brevipes, 91 nucleotides. NCBI's taxonomy places the organism in Eukaryota, Fungi, Basidiomycota, Agaricomycetes, Russulales, Russulaceae. The record is from the annotation of a GenBank genome assembly.
GCCGUCGUGGCGCAAUGGCAGCGCAUCACCUUCCUAUACGCACAUGGAAUAAGGCAGGUGGGGGUUGCGGGUUCGACCCCCGUCGACGGUA